Molecule: ribosomal RNA, 345 nt
Filed under: uncultured fungus
Lineage: Eukaryota; Fungi
Description: SSU rRNA
Rfam family: Eukaryotic small subunit ribosomal RNA
Source: RNAcentral
GUAGUCAUAUGCUUGUCUCAAAGAUUAAGCCAUGCAUGUCUAAGUAUAAGCAAUCUAUACUGUGAAACUGCGAAUGGCUCACUAAAUCAGUUAUAGUUUAUUUGAUAGUACCUUUACCUGGAUAACCGUGGUAAUUCUAGAGCUAAUACAUGCUAAAAACCCCGACUUCGGAAGGGGUGUAUUUAUUAGAUAAAAAACCAAUGCCCUUCGGGGCUCCUUGGUGAUUCAUAAUAACUCAACGAAUCGCAUGGCCUUGCGCCGGCGAUGGUUCAUUCAAAUUUCUGCCCUAUCAACUUUCGAUGGUAGGAUAGUGGCCUACCAUGGUCUCAACGGGUAACGGGGAAU